AGGCGGAGCGGGUCGCGCCGCAGACGGAGCCGCAUAGGACGGAAUCCGGGCGGGCGGAGCCGAUGCGGGAAGCCGCGCGCGCCGACACCCCGGCGACCUUCGCCCCGGAGGAUGUGAGCGCGCCGCUGGACCCGCGCUUCACCUUCGAGAAUUUCAUCAUCGGCAAAUCGAACGAGCUCGCCCAUGCCGCAGCGCAGCGCGUUGCCGAGGCACGCGCCGUGCCCUUCAACCCGCUCUUCCUCUAUGGCGGGGUGGGGCUGGGCAAGACCCAUCUGAUGCAUGCCGUCGCCUG
This 292-nucleotide unclassified non-coding RNA is filed under the name uncultured fungus. RNAcentral's name for it is "sequence contains ITS1". Lineage: Eukaryota; Fungi. The record is from RNAcentral.